CCCUCCCGGCCUCCGCAGAUCCAUUCCCCUCUCUCCCUUCACUCAGCCCCCGCCCCCAAUCCGCCGCCGAACGCGGACCCUGCUCCUGCCGCCGAACGCCCAACCCAGCCCUCCCCUCGCCGGGGCGGCAGCGCUCCUGCGGGCGCUCCUCUGCGUCCGCGGUGCGCGCGACGCCGCGGCCCUUGCCUUCUACUAGCGCUACAAGAAGGGGUUCUCCGCCUCGCUCUCCUCCCCCGCUGCGGCGUCCUCAUCCCCUGCACGCCCGCCUUGCAGCUGCGACUGCCCGGCGCCCCUCUCCCUCAAGUCCAUCGCCCCGGGUGAGCUGUCCAUUCCCAUCCCUCUUCUCAGAUCUUGCCGCUGUCACCCUCUGAUCUGCGUCCGCUCGCCUACCUCCCGGAGCCCCACCUCACGGGGGCCGGUUGCUCCAGAUCUAGCGGCUGGAGUACAAACGGCAUGUGGUAGCCGCAGAUCCCGCCUGGGCGAUGGGCUCUCCCCACGAGGAUUCGCUGCCGCCAUCACCCAAUCCGAGCAGAUGCCGCCCACAGCCAUGGCGCCAUGCGUGCACUUCCCAGAUCCGGUCAGCUUCGGCUGGCUGCUGGGCCUCUCUCUCUCUCUGCCGCUCGUCAUGGCUUCUCGUCUGAUGGGCGUUGAGGCCUCCCUUGCCAACGGAGGCGUGCAGGCCGGCCUCGUUGAGAACCCAGGCGAGGACAACCACGACAUGCGGGUCUCCCUCUUAGGCCUCCCAUCGCUAUCCGUCGUCGAGGUGCCAUUGUUCCUGCUCUACUCCCUGCCUGGAAGACCCCUGCAGCAUGCUGAGCACUUCCUACCUGCCGGCAGCGUACUGGUUUGGGUGGGGGAUAAGCAUUUGGUCAUCAUAUUGCAUCAUUGUUCUCUGUCGGCAGCGUACGGCCCAAAUUGAAAUUAACACAUGCUGAGGUCAGCUCGACUGCUUGUGCACGGGCAGCAAAAUUACAAAUACUGUUCGAUUUCUCUCAGGAUGGAGAUCGUGGCCAAGGCACCUAUGAUGAUUGCGUCUACUGUGUUGGGUCAGAUAGCUUGGUCUAAGUCAGAUAUGAGCAUGUUUAAGCUACAGGGAUGGAGAUCGUGGCCAAGGCACCUUUGGUGAUUGCGUCUACUGUGUAGGGUCAGAUAGCUUGUUCUAAGUCAGAUAUGAGCAUGUUUAAGCUACAGGGUAAGGUAGUCUUUGAGAUUGCAUGCUGUUGCUGCUAGUUUCGUAGUGGACUGGUUGAAAAUUGCCAUGGUGCAAUUAUUGUAAGAUCUUGUGCUAGAUUAAAACUUAAGUUAAGACUAUGGUUUCAUGCUGAAUGAAAACUUGUUUUCUUGUAUGUAUAUGCUGAGAUGGAUCAAAACUUAUUACAUGUAAUGAAUGAAAUAUUUAAUCUGUUGUGUUUA
Panicum virgatum (switchgrass) is the source of this 1413-nucleotide long non-coding RNA. RefSeq lists it as uncharacterized. The record is from RefSeq and is a predicted model, not a curated record. Lineage: Eukaryota; Viridiplantae; Streptophyta; Magnoliopsida; Poales; Poaceae. The transcript is spliced from 5 exons.